UAAGGAAAAAUUACCAUGUUGUAAAAGAAGAAGAAAAGAUUUGCCAUGCUGACAGAAAAAAAACAUGCUGAAGACUGCCAUGGCAAUUUUAGGAAUUGUGAACUUGGGUGAAAAUUGCCAUCAUAGAAAACAAAAAAUCAUCACUAUGUACAUGGCCAAAAAAAUGUGUGAAUGUGUCAUGGCAAAAAAGUAGAUUAUAUUGCCAUGGCAAUUUACAGAAUGUAAAGAAGUCUAUAUUUGCCAUCUUUCUACACAAAACUGACCCCAAAAUGCCAUGUUUUAAAUGGGAGCUAACUGAAAAAAGCAUCUAUAGAUUAACUUGAGAGCAGUAACAACUUGGGAGUGGAGAGUUGGGGAGAGACAGAUGGAAAACCAUUGCAAAUGUAGUUUAUUUAUCAUGGCAAAAAUAUUUAUUCGACCAGGUCAAGCAAAACUAGUAAGUCACCUGGUGCUGCAGUGCUUGUUUAUGAUCACUAGCACUGAUGGCGAAGUCGACCACAAAACCACAAUUACUGACCUGAUUCACAGUCCAAUCAAGAACAAAACUAAAGAAAAAAUGGAAUUUUCUCACUCAAUGCUCCAUGGACACUCCAGGUGCAGAAGCUAAUAUGACUGCACUAUCUCAAAUAAAAUCCUUAAAACACAAAGUGCAUCGAGCUCAUCAAAAAAUAGAUUGUACAACUAACUGAACCGAACCGAUCAUCCCACGUAUGUGAAUUGAGCUACAUUUUUUCAGAACAAAGAAACAACGGUCACCUGAUUUGCCUUUGUCGAGGAACCUGCAGAGCUCCGAUGCCCUUGCAAAUCGCAAGCAUCGUCAAACUGACAAGGAAAUCAGAAUCCAACGCGGGGGAGGGGAGGCCCGGAGGCGGUCGAGGCCGUCACACUCACACUCGAACCGGGCGAUAGCCUCAUAGGGGCGGCGCUCCUCGUCGGGGCAAGGUACUGUGGGGUUGAAACUGCCAUGAAAAAAUGAUUGAAGUAAAAAUAUCUUCUAUGCAGUGAUGACAAAAAUAGUAUGUGUUUGCCAUAGCAGAAAAUUGUUCUCCCUGAGCAAACAAAAUGGCAAGAAUUAUAGUGGUACCCAUGCCAACUAGCCAUUCACUGCAUAUAUGGAAGUGCCAUAGAUUAUCCCUAUCAAUUAUAAAACCAGAUCAAAUAACUACUGCCAUGACAUCUCUAUCAAUGUGCUUAUAUAAUGCCGGCGUCUGAAAUGAAACACAGGCACAAGAUAUGCAUUAGAGAAGGAACCAAAAACAUCGAUUGGGGAUGGGACCUUGAAUUCAGCUCCAUGGCGUCUAUUGUCUGCGUGAGCACGGAGCAGGCGGAGCACGGCCCCGUAGUCACCGACCAGUGGUGCCACGACCGCCUCCGCCUUGCGCCUCAUCGGUCCCCGUCGUCGUCUCGGAAGAGGAAGAUGGCCUUCUCGUCGGCGGCGUGGAAGAGCAAGCGAGCAUGCGUAAAUUGAGGAGGGCCUCCGGCUCGUGGGCGGCGCCAUAGGCACGCCCCGCCUCACCUGAAGAUGGCACCACCCCCUCCCUCUGCAAAUUCAUGGGGACUCGUCGUCGCUCCCCUCCACGAGCAGGACCUCCACCAGCCACUCCUCACACUGCGGCGAGGGCCCGUGGAGGGCGAGUCCGUCUUCGCCGACGAGAGGACGCCGCGGAGGAGGAGACCAUCGUGUCGCCCAAUCGAUGCAUCCAUGGCGCUGUCCCAGGAAGCUCGUUGCUGGGCCUCCGCCUCCGUCGUCCACCGGAACCACCUGAGUCGUCCCUCUCCCUUGCUGUGCACGCUGGGAAUCGAUGCUCUAUCCCUGCAGUGCUCGUUGGGAAUCACCGGAGUCGCCGCUCCCUCCGCCUUGCUACUGGGGUGUGAGUGGCCUGUGUGUGUGGCCGAAUGGAUAAGGGAAGGGGGAGGAGACGUGGUCGUUCGGUCAGCUCGAGAAAGUCCCGAACAAUUUUUU
RNAcentral lists this long non-coding RNA (1963 nucleotides) under Triticum aestivum (bread wheat). Its description in RNAcentral is "long non-coding RNA (TAES_LNC012156)". Lineage: Eukaryota; Viridiplantae; Streptophyta; Magnoliopsida; Poales; Poaceae. The record is from RNAcentral.